CAUGGAGUUGUUGAGUUGUCUGCUGUGUUUUCUUGCUGCUUGGACUUCAAUUUACAUCAUGUUUUCAGCCAGAAGAGGAAGAAAGCAUGCUGCUCACAAACUUCCUCCAGGACCAGUUCCGCUUCCCAUAAUAGGAAGCCUCUUAAACCUGGGUAACAGACCCCAUGAGUCCCUCGCCAAUCUUGCAAAAACUUACGGCCCAAUUAUGACUCUCAAACUUGGCUAUGUAACCACAAUAGUCAUCUCUUCUGCCCCCAUGGCCAAAGAAGUCCUCCAAAAGCAGGAUCUCUCCUUCUGCAACCGAUCCAUCCCUGAUGCCAUCCGAGCCGCAAAACACAACCAACUGUCGAUGGCCUGGCUACCUGUUUCAACAACUUGGAGAGCCCUUCGAAGGACAUGCAAUUCGCACUUAUUCACUCCUCAAAAACUAGACUCUAACACCCAUCUCCGCCACCAGAAAGUGCAAGAGCUUCUUGCGAAUGUUGAACAGAGCUGCCAAGCUGGUGGUCCUGUAGAUAUAGGCCAAGAAGCUUUUAGAACUAGUCUCAACUUGUUAUCCAACACCAUAUUUUCUGUGGAUCUUGUUGAUCCAAUUUCUGAGACUGCACAAGAGUUUAAAGAGUUGGUGCGUGGUGUGAUGGAGGAAGCUGGGAAACCCAACUUGGUAGAUUAUUUUCCGGUGCUCAGACGGAUUGAUCCACAAAGUAUAAGGCGUCGUUUGACAAUUUAUUUUGGAAGGAUGAUUGAGAUCUUUGAUAGAAUGAUCAAGCAACGGUUACAGCUAAGAAAAAAUCAAGGUUCAAUAGCUAGCAGUGAUGUGUUAGACGUUCUUCUCAACAUCAGUGAAGAUAACAGCAGUGAGAUUGAAAGAAGUCAUAUGGAACAUUUGUUAUUGGUUAGUAUCUUCUAUCUCCAUUUAAAAUUUCUUUCUUCUUCCUUGCUUCAUAUUCCCGCUAUGAAUUUGGUUUGGUUUUUAAUGAUUCAAAUAGCAGUUGGCCAAAUAAACAUUAUAUUCAGGCCUAUUAAGACAUCCAGAGACUAUGUUACAGGACUUAUUUGCUGCGGGGACUGACACAACUUCGAGCACAUUGGAAUGGGCAAUGGCAGAGCUGCUACACAACCCUGAAACACUUUUGAAAGCCCGAAUGGAACUCCUGCAAACCAUCGGCCAAGACAAACAGGUAAAAGAAUCAGACAUCAGUCGACUCCCAUACUUGCAAGCAGUGGUGAAAGAGACCUUCCGAUUGCACCCAGCAGUUCCAUUUUUACUCCCACGCAGAGUUGAAGGGGACGCAGAUAUAGAUGGGUUCGCAGUCCCAAAGAACGCACAGGUGCUGGUGAACGCAUGGGCUAUAGGUCGAGACCCGAACACAUGGGAGAACCCCAACUCAUUUGUGCCAGAGAGGUUCUUGGGGUUGGACAUGGACGUGAAGGGCCAGAAUUUUGAGCUGAUUCCGUUUGGUGCUGGCAGGAGAAUCUGUCCUGGGCUGCCAUUGGCAAUCCGGAUGGUUCACUUGAUGCUGGCCUCGCUCAUUCACUCCUAUGAUUGGAAACUUGAAGAUGGGGUGACACCGGAAAACAUGAACAUGGAAGAAAGAUAUGGCAUUAGUUUACAAAAGGCUCAGCCCCUGCAAGCUCUACCUGUACGGGUUUGAAGUUGUUGAUUUUGUGUGCUGAAGUAAUGUGCUGAUUCUUGGUGUGCUCUGCUGUGUUAUCAUUAACUAGAAAUGUCAGUCCAGUUCUGUCAUAGUGUUAAAUAAACUCGGAAGUCUUUCUAAUUUCCACUUAAAUGGCUAUCAAAUAUGCAUGCAUCCAUGCAUAGCAGCAUAGGUUAUCUUUGUAUUUUUCAAUUGAAGUGUCAAUCAACGUUCAUAAAUAUUUGUUCCAACACAGAGAACGCCCGAUGUCAAUGAAAGGACAAAUGAAAUAUUUGAUCAAAAGAGAUGAAAUAAUUUUUAAAUUGCGGAUAUGAUCAUUUUAUUUUUAUUUUUUAUUUUUUUUAAAGUAACUUAUUUUUUAUAUAAAUAUUUUUUAUUAUUUAUAAAUUUUCAAACAAAAUAUUAUUUUUACUAUAAAAUAUCAAGACAUUUUAGUUAAAAUGAGAUAUAAAAAAAAACGCAUCGUUAAUUUCAAACUUCGAAUUUUUAACACUUUUAAUCACAUAACCCAAAGCAAAUUCCAUACUCUCUAACAAAGAAACUCUCUUAUCUCGUAACUUUGAGAGCUUCUAUUAGGAUCGGUUGAACAGAGAGUUAGAGACUUGAGGCUGCCAAGUGGAGGGAGGAGAGAGAGGCUCUUUAGUAAUUUUCUAAUCAAAUAAAAAUUCAAUUUUAUUUUAAUUUUAAAUGUUUAAUUUCAAAUAGAAAAUAUUUUUGUUGAGAAAAUAAUAAAAAUUUUAUUAUUUUAAUUAAAGAUAAAUAAUAACUAAACAUAUAUAACAUAAUAAAUAUUUUGAAAUUAUGAAUUAAAGAUAGUUGUCGUUUUGCACAUGUUUCACUUGAAUUCAAGUGAGAAUCCAUUUCCCGAAAAAAUUCUUCUUUCUCUGGCAUCCAACGGCUAGCUCGCUUCUAUUCUUCCCAAAAUAUUUUCUUCUUUCUCUGACAUAUAUCAUAUACUGUUCCCAAAAUUUUCUUGCUCUGUACGGCUUGCUCCAACCAAAUAAAGUCUAACACGUCUCCAGUAAUAAAUUCAUUCAAAAGAUUUCAUUAUUUUCUCAAAAAGCAAUCAAAUUAGUCGGAGAUGUUUUCCUUUUUUCUGUUUAACAAAGCAAAAUCACGUGAUAGUUAGACUUUAGACAUGAAACUUUGAUACAAAAUUCAUUGAAUCAACCGAUUUAACAGUAAGGCGAUUAAAACGUUUGAGCCGCCCACUUUUGGAAGACAGAAAAAAAAAUUAUUAUAUAAGUUUCAGCAAUGGGGCUGGGAUCGGAUGCCCCUCUGCUGGUCUCGGCGGUAUCCGGUACUUUAUCUUUCUCUAUUUUUUUUUUCCUAUAUAAUUUGGUUUUAGAAAGGGAGUUGUUGCUUCCUGCUUUGUGUUAUUGUUUGAUCAUUUACUUUUGCGUAUUGGGUCUUCAUCUUGCUUGUUAUUGAGCACGUCCUUGGGAUCGAGGUGACAGGUGAGAACUUUAGAAUGAACUCGUCGGGCUUGGUCCGCUAUUUGGAUACCUUUAAUUUCCUUCCACUCUAUUCGAAUGCUCUUCUGCUGAUCAUUUAGUGGCAUUUUCAGGUUCUUUCCCUCGUAGAUUUUUGGGUGAUUCUGCUGGAGAUGGAGACGGUUCACUCGGAGUUGGAAUGGAGGAACAAAAGGACUCGGACCUAGGUUCGUUUGCACACCAACCACGGUUUCGUUUUGGGUUACAAUUUACAAAAUAUCUUUCUCUUUCAAGUGGGAAUUGCCAGUGGUAAAAGAAAAUGAGUAUUGCUUUCUAAUGGGUACAAUGCAAGGCCUUUUUAUCUUCUAUCACUCGCGUAUAUGGUUGUUUCUGUCACUUGAGAAGAUGCAAUGGAAAAUUGACUAGUAUGAACUGAUAAUACCAGCACUAAUAGCAAUGAUCACCGGUCAAGUUAAUUAGUAGAUAGUAAGAGAGAAAGUAGAAUUUUACUUAAUUAAUGGGUAUUUCUUUGUUUUCAAAUGAUCAGUUGUGCAAAAGAUACAUAGAAAAUGAAAAAUGAAUCUUCUUAAUUAAUCUUAUGAAAGCAUUGAUAAACAACUGAUUAGUUAAAUAACUCAAUCCGAAUAUAAAUUGGGUUUCUCUUUUUCUUUUUUUUUCGGGGUUUUAACAGGUAUGUGUUCGUAGUAACAAAGAAAAUUCUUGCCCGUUGGUAUAUAGAAGUCAAGAAAUCAAAACGUAAAAGUUGAGAGAUACUGCUUGUUGGGGACCACAGCGAAAGAGGAAGAGAGAUAUGGAGUUGUUGAGUUGUCUGCUGUGUUUUCUUGCUGCUUGGACUUCAAUUUACAUCAUGUUUUCAGCCAGAAGAGGAAGCAAACAUACUGCUUACAAACUUCCUCCGGGACCAGUUCCGCUUCCCAUAAUAGGAAACCUCUUAAACCUGGGUAACAGGCCCCAUGAGUCCCUCGCCAACCUUGCAAAAACUUACGGCCCAAUUAUGACUCUCAAACUUGGCUAUGUAACCACAAUAGUCAUCUCUUCUGCCCCCAUGGCCAAAGAAGUCCUCCAAAAGCAGGAUCUCUCCUUCUGCAACCGAUCAAUCCCUGAUGCCAUCCGAGCCGCAAAACACAACCAACUGUCGAUGGCCUGGCUACCUGUUUCAACAACUUGGAGAGCCCUUCGAAGGACAUGCAAUUCGCACUUAUUCACUUCUCAAAAACUAGACUCUAACACCCAUCUCCGCCACCAGAAAGUGCAAGAGCUUCUUGCGAAUGUUGAACAGAGCUGCCAAGCUGGUGGUCCUGUAGAUAUAGGCCGAGAAGCUUUUAGAACUAGUCUCAACUUGUUAUCC
This 4460-nucleotide long non-coding RNA is filed under the name Vitis vinifera (wine grape). RNAcentral describes it as "long non-coding RNA (VVIN_LNC000393)". Lineage: Eukaryota; Viridiplantae; Streptophyta; Magnoliopsida; Vitales; Vitaceae. The record is from RNAcentral.